Molecule: ribosomal RNA, 279 nt
Filed under: uncultured Staphylococcus sp.
Lineage: Bacteria; Bacillati; Bacillota; Bacilli; Caryophanales; Staphylococcaceae
Description: partial 16S ribosomal RNA
Rfam family: Bacterial small subunit ribosomal RNA
Source: RNAcentral
CCUUUGACGUUAGCGGCGGACGGGUGAGUAACACGUGGGUAACCUACCUAUAAGACUGGGAUAACUUCGGGAAACCGGAGCUAAUACCGGAUAAUAUUUCGAACCGCAUGGUUCGAUAGUGAAAGAUGGUUUUGCUAUCACUUAUAGAUGGACCUGCGCCGUAUUAGCUAGUUGGUAAGGUAACGGCUUACCAAGGCGACGAUACGUAGCCGACCUGAGAGGGUGAUCGGCCACACUGGAACUGAGACACGGUCCAGACUCCUACGGGAGGCAGCAGUU